RNAcentral lists this long non-coding RNA (16617 nucleotides) under Citrus maxima (pomelo). Its description in RNAcentral is "long non-coding RNA (CMAX_LNC001158)". Lineage: Eukaryota; Viridiplantae; Streptophyta; Magnoliopsida; Sapindales; Rutaceae. The record is from RNAcentral.
UAUUUCAUUCAAUUUGACUAGGAUUUUGUUGUCUGUAGCUAAUUGAUCAUCAUUGAUGGAGGAAUGUUAGGAAAUUAAGUUGUGUUAAAUACUAAAUAUAGACAAUUUGGUUAGGCAUAAGACGAAUGAAAAACGUUUGUUCUUAGAUGCAGGGCAGUAAGUUAUUUACUUACACCGAUGAAGUUAUAACUAACACUAGUUUCAUAUGGUUGAGUGAUUUACUUAUAUGUUUAUUUUAUCUGUUGGGAAUGCAGUUGUGGGGAUUAGCUAGUUCAACCAGCAAGUUCUUUUUCACUUUUAUGGGGUGUGUUAAGAAUGAAUGACAUUCAAACUGGGGAUUUGAUGCCAGGGCUUUUUAACUUUAUGGAGGGCAGGCGAUAAGGGUCGAAAAGAGCACCUUGUAGAUUGUCAUUUCUAGGAUGAGCAAUAAUGCCCUUCUGAAAAUUCAUUGGUUUGUCAGUGGUUGAUUUUUGACCAUCCGAGUUUUUAUCCUACAAUUUUUUGGGCUAAUUGGGAAAUCAUAUGGUGUUAAAUACUGUAUCUUACUUGGUAGUAUUUUACGAAAUAAUAUUUGCUUAUGAUUGACUUAACAAAACAGUAUCCGGUGUGCUUGUAUUAACCCUGCUGUGUUUUCGGAAGGCUUGCAAGUAAUUUCACAGCACAGAGGGCUGUUUUGUUAUUCUGUUUAGUUGGUUAUUGAUGUAGAACAGGCUGUAACUUGGACAGUUUUAAGUUUUUCUUUAUUUGUUCUUUAUUUUAAGUUUUUUUAAAAUUCUGUCUGUAGAACUUUAUUGUGUUUAAAUAAUUUGAAUUUACCCAGUUUGGGAAAUUCACGUUAUUUAGUGUUUUAGUAUAAAAGGGAGCUGAACCCUAUUUGUUUUGGUUGGUUGAUUCAUAAUUUAAAAAAAAAAUAAAAAAAUCUUUUGGUGAAGAUUUGUUCUUUCUUUACUUUCGUGUUGUGUCAGUUAUCCCUAAUAAAUUUUACAAUUGCCCUUUAUUAUUCUUUGACGAGGAGCUUUUGUGAAUCUGUGAUUUAAGCUGGCAGAAUUGUUACAUGCAGAUUUAAUAUGACCAAACAGAUCCUCUAUCUAGUCCUCUAAGUACUAUCUGUCUUGAUUUUUUUCUUAAUAGGUGGCUGAAGAUAGUGGUCACAUGUUGGAAGAGGAUUGAAGUUGGACUUGUUUUCAUUUCCCAUUUUGUUAUUUGAUUUAAUAAGAUCAACUUUGCCAUGUUCAGUGUUCAAUUUUGCCAUGUUUAGUGUUACUUUGUUGUGUAUUAAGUUUAGAGUGUGAGACUUGAUCUGAUAUGUAGAUGUUUAAUCUUUUGCUUUUGAUAUCGUUAUGCAUUCAAUGGCUUUACAUUUGGUGCCUGAAAUGUUUCGAAUAAAGAAGUUUCCUCAUAUAUAUAUAUUGUCUUAUUUAUUUAAUUUUUUUUGGGUCAAGUUUUCUAUUUUUAUGCUUUAACGUUUUUAUGGUUCGUUUCCUUAAUUUGAAAUUUUUGUACCAUUCAUUGAAAAAAGAAAUGUAACUUAAGAUGAUCAACUUAAAUUUUCAUCCGUUUCAUUUCUUUCAAUCUGAAGGUUUAUAUUUUUUUGUCAAAAAGCUGCAAUGAGUCACCUUUAUUCUUCUAUUAUUGAAAUGACUAGAUCAACCGAAUGAAAGUUUAAUUAAAAUAUUGAAUAGAUUAAAUGGAUGAAAAUUGAAGUAAAAUGUUGAAGUUAAGGAGCCCUAAAAAUUAUAGAAGAAACUCGAUAAGAGUAACGACCGUUGAAAAUACGUUAUCUUUUAUUUUAAUAAUUUAAGGAUUUUUAUAUUAGAAAAUUGCUUUAUAUAUAUAUGUGUGUGUUGAAAAUAUAUUAUUUCUUACUUAACAACUUAAGAGAUUUUAUACAAAAUUACACACACACUCCUUCUAAUAAGAGAAUUACUUAAUUUCAUGCAAAGUAAAGGAUAAAUUAAAAGUAAAAAACACAUAUUUUAAUAUACUAAAAAAUAAAAUAUACUAUUUUGGAGUGUGUUUUAUAAACUUUCAAUUUAUCUUUUACUUGAUUGAAGUAAGUGAUCCCUCGGUGUAAAAUUACUUCAUAUAUAUAAUAUAAUACACUAUAUUAGAGUGCGUAUUUUAAUUCUCUUUUAAUUUAUCCCUUAUCUUAAUGAUUUAAGAGAUCGUUUAUUAGAUAAUGACUCGUAUAUUUUAUUUUGACUUCAAUUUUUUACAUAAGUAUUAAGUUAUUGGUUUUUCACAAUUUUGAUCGUAGAUAAAUUAAUAUAUAAAUUAAUAUAAUUAGUGGUAGUUUAUAUGUGUGUAGUUUUUUUUUAAUGCGGGUGUCUUUAUUAUUUUUGCUUAGAUAUAUUUUUAAAUUAUGAAAUUUAAAAUCAUAUAUUUUAACCGCACUUAAAAAUAAUUAUAUAAAAGAGUAUGCAUGGAGUGGAAGGAUAUAAUUAUCAUAUCCUGAUUGAACAAACCACCAGGCCAGCUUGAUUCUUUCUGCUAACACUAAAUAAUUAAUUAAUCAUGUUUCAUUUUUAUUAUGAUAAUUCCCAGUUAAUAAUCAUGCCGUUAAAUAAGAAAAAGUAUAUGGCGUGGCCUCAUAAAAAAAAAAAACUUUAUUUUAAGUAGUGGAAAAGAACAGUAUAUUUAAAUUGGUCUCGGAGAAUGGUAGGUGAAUGAGGCCAAAUUAAAUUUGCGCGAAAAAUCCAAAAGCAUGUGAGACUUGCUCAAUUAUUGUAUUGUGUGUCCUACGCUAUAAUUAAAGCAAAUGAAAUCCCCGACAAUAUAUAUAUAUAUAUAUAUAUAUAUAUAUAUAUAUAUAUAUAUAUAUAUAUAUAUAUAAUCAAGUAGCCGGUCCAAAGCGCAUCAAAAAAGAAAAAGUUGUGAAUUAUUCCAAUAAAAAAAAAGUUGGAUUGUGACAGACACUACAUAUACUAAGAGGAUGGAUUAGGCCUUUUAAUAAAAUUAUUUGAUUGUUAAUGACGUCUUUUAUUUAAAAUUAUAAAAUUAUUUUAAUAAAUAAAUAUACUAAAAAUAUAUUAUCAAAGAAAUGAAAUAAAUAAGAGUAUUUUAAAAAAAUUAAUUAAAAAAAAACUCUACAACCUUAAAAGUCUAAAAAUUUAAACUUUUGUUAACAAAAGUAAAAUAAUUUAAUUAGUCUCUAAAAACUCAACUCAAAAUACGAUCUAACAAUAUCAAAAAUUUUGAAAAGAUCUUUAAAAACGAAAUAAAUAUUUUUAGGCAUUAGAUAAGUUAUAUUAAACAUGCAGUUAUUACAUAUAUAUAUAUAGAUGGAUUAUAAUUUAAUAUCAACUCCCAUAAUUAUUAGAGUUAAAUCUUCUCUUAUACUAGGAACAUUACCCACCCCACCCUUGGGGACUUGGAACUCAUAUCCCAAAUGUUGAGGGCAUGCGUUCUCACCUAUACCCUUAGAGGGAAGUCACCAUAAAUAUCUGUUUGCGGAAGAGCAAUAUUCACCAUACAAAGCCUCUAGUUAGAUAAGCCCUGUCCUUUUUAAGUUUUUCGUUUUUUUGAAUAUAUAUACACACACACACACACAAAUCAUAAUUGAAGCGCCAUAGAUAUAAUUAGGAGAACUUGCAACGAGAAGCUGCUGGCAUCUCCCACACAAGCUUGAAAAAGUAGCCAGUAAGAGUUGUGCACGGAGGGCAAAAAAAAAAAAAAAAGCAUGGGAAAUAAUAAUGUGAUGGGAUUGAGAGGUGGUAUCUUAGCAGCGAUCAUAGUUAUGAUGAUACUCUUCUUCUCCGCGAAUCAAUCUUGUGCUGCAGGCAACAUUACUAAUUUCCAUAUUGAUCCUGAUGUGUUGUUCUUUCAUGAUGAUCCAGAAUUGGAAUUGGCUGCUGCUCCGACUUCUAAUAAAGCAUUGGAUCCCAGUCAAGCAUUCGGUUGCGGCAGACCCGGAAGCAUUCGCUCUUGUCCCCCUCAUCCCAAUGCCCCCAAAAAGCCCGAUCAUUGCGCACCUGCCCCCGGCAGCACGUAUGCCCCAGCCAAACGAGAUUGCUAGCUAGUUUAUGAUACAUCUUUAAUCUUCAAUCUUCAUCUUUAUCCUCAACUAUGCCAUGAUGUGGGUUUAUUCUGCAUAUGCAUGUUGUAUUUAAUUUAUAUAAGUAGCUAUAAUUAAUUAAUAAUCUCUCUUUCCCAUCCCUUCUUAAUUCUAUCUGUCUAUAUAUAUUAUUAAUAAUUAAGCCUUAAGCUUGUACUGCUGCAUCCAUGCAUAAUUGCAUAUGCAUUAAUAAAUAAAUUAAUUGAAACUUCUAAUUUGUUUAGCACUAAUUAAUUCGUUGUUAAAUUAGCUAAGGUUACUCCAUCUUGAUGCUAUCGUUCAUGUUCACUCAUUUCAAUUCUACCAUACUCGUCCUGAAUUUAUUACUUUUCCAUGUGCGUGCGUGUUAACAGCCUGGAGAAGUAAUUGAUUAAUUGAUUAACCAUUGAUGGCAUUUUGCAUCGAGCUGGACAUACUCUUAAUUACCGGCCUCUUGAAGGGAAACCCGCUACGAUACAAAUCAAACAACUGAACGUACAACUUCAUUGCAUUUCCUGCAAUAAUGCCUAACAUUCAAUGAUUUACCUGCUCCCUCCCAUCAUGCCUUAAUUAAUUGUUAGGUUAUGAUUUUUUUAAUUAAAGAAAAAGAAAAAAAAUCAAGCCUUGCCUAAAAGCAAUUGGUAGUAAAAUUUUAGUGGAGAAUCUAAAGAAUGACAUAUCCGUCAUUUUCUAUGAUUUCUGUGAGGACCACUUUUUUUUUUUUUAAAAAAAAAUAAAAAUUCACGCUCAUCACAAGUUGAUUUGUUUUGUCAUUUGUGAUUGCGGGGUGUGUGUCUUCUUUUGGUUUGAUGCCUUACUGAUCUGAUCCGCAAUCUUAAACUUUAUUCAAAUUCAAAAAAAAUUAUAAAAUUAUAUGGUUUAAUUUUCAAUUUUUCCCUAUUUCUUUACUCGUAAAUUUUACAUUUUUUAAUAAAAGUUAUUAAAGUCUCGGAGCUAUUAAGGGUAUUUAUGACAUUUUCCUACUUGUAAUUAAUUUAAUCAUUAAAAGUAUAUAAGUUAUUUUCUCGAUUUAUAUUCAAACAUAUUUAAAUUUUAUAAAAAUAAAUUAAUGUCUUAGUUAAGCUUUCUAAUUUUUUUUCUGCUCGACGAAUUUAUAAAGACGUCGUUUUUAAGAAGGAAAUUAUUUCUCUUUAUCUUUUGACUGCUUGAUUGGAACUCGGGAAUUGACAAAAAAAAGGAAAGGAUCGAUGUUGAAGGAAAGAAUUGGGUAUGGAAAUAAAAUUGUGUGCCUUUAUAAUAAACUCAUUAAAAAUCAAAUUGAAUGAAUGAAUUAUUAAUAAUUAGGUUACAAUAUAAAAUGAAAUCUUAACCAUUCAAUUUUUUUUUCUAGAAAUUAAUUUUAUGAUUAGAUUAUUGAAAUCAAAAGAAAAAUUAGGAGCGGGAAAGCUAGUAGGGAAUCCAAAUCCUAUUCUUAUUAAUUAAUUAUAAGCUCUAUUUUUUUGAAUCAAGUCCAAAAUUUUCCUUGUUUUUUUUUUCUUUUUAAAUACCCAAAACUAAAAAACAGGGCAUGCACUCUGUUUAUAUUUCUAUGAAAUCGUUGUUCAUUAAGCAAAUUUCUUCCUCUAAGUUCAGAUAAUUUCAUGAUUUGUCACUUACUGCACCCAAUAAAAAGAUAAAGAAUCAAAAGGACAUCUUUUAUGUGUAAAUACACAUCAAAUCUCUUUUAUUAAUCAAUUUUUUUAUUAUUAAUAAAAUAGGCUACAUGGCAUAUUCUAUUUUUUUCUCCCUCAGCUAAAAUACUAAUAUAUUACCAAAUUAAGAAAAUUAGAUCUCCAGUGAUCGUCCGUGCAAUCUUUGGCUAUAUUAAAGUUAAGAAAAUUGUAUUAAAUAUUGAAUAUAGAAAAUUUUGUGGAACUAAUUAAGAAAGUUGUUAUGAAAGUUCAUAUCAAUUAUUUCUCUGAGUAAUACUAUGCAUGCAUAGCUAGGAUAACAAUAAAAUAUUUAAACUUGUGUGAUCAGUUAAAUAAAAUCUUGUAAAAACCUCUUGGGCAAGUCAUCGAGCUGUUUGAAUAGACUUUAUUUGUACACCAUUAAUGUAUUUUUUAGGGGUGGGCAUUUUCCGGUUCAGUUCGGUUCGGGUUCCAAACCGAACCGAACCAGAACCAAUUGGUUCUAAAAAAUUCAAACCAAACCGAACCGAAAUAUUUCGGUUCGGUUUGGUUCGGUUCUAAAAUUUGGUUCGGUUUGGUUUGGUUUGGUUUGGUUCGGUUCGCACAUAUUUAUAGAUUUUACAGUUUUAACCAAAUCUUACUACAUUUUACUGCAUUUUACAAUUUUCCCCUACAUUUUACAGAAUAUAAGUUCACAACAAGAAAAAUAAAACACAAUAAGUCUACAAUACACAAUCAACAACUUCAAAUACAAAGCCUUCAAGUAAAAAACAAAAUAACAAAAGUCCUAAUACAAAGCCAUCAAGUAAAUAACAAAAUAAGAGAAGCAACAAUUUCAUCCACCACGCACAUCAUCUACAUGAAAAUCCCAUACUCUAAACAAAACAAAAUAAGAGAAGCCUUCAACUUCAAUACACAAGCAACAAUUUCAUCCGCCACCCACAUCACCUACAUCAAAAUUCAAACUUUCAAAAUAAGCCAAAGCACUCAAUAAUUAAACUAAAUAAAAUAAAGCGAUUUAAUAAUUAAUUAAUAAAUAUAUAUCAAUUUAAUUACCUAAAAUGGUUUAUGUUCAACCGCAAUUUUCAUGUUGACCUACAAAGUUGGUCGACUGUUGUUGAUUUGCGAAGUUCUACAUACAAAAAUUGGACAAAUUGAACAAGGUUAGUAAUACUUAAAAAAUAAACUUAGAUUAAAAUUAAACAAAUUAUAUAAUAUUGAUAAUACUUAAAAAGUAAAUUAAAAUUAAAAUUUUACAAAAUAUACCUUCCGCAAGUUGAUCCAUAAACUCAUUGUCUUCAACUAAUUUAUUUAGGUCCGUCGUUGUAUCCACGAAAAGAGAAGUCCGCAACCAAUUCUGUAACAAUACCAAUGCUUCCACCAUGUCUGGAGUCAAAGAGCUUCUAUACUGAUCUAAUAUACGACCUCCAGUACUAAAGGUAGACUCAGAGGCAACAGUAGACACCGGAAUAGCAAGAACAUCCCUUGCUAUACUUGACAAGAUUGGGUAAUUGGCACUAUUCACCCUCCACCACAAUAAAAUAUCAAAUUUAGUGCCCAAAUGACUUUCUGCAAUUUUUUCAGUCUUCUCCAUCAAGUAAAGAUCCAACUCAUUUGAUAACUCCGGGCUACCUUCACUAACCACAGCCGCUUUACUAAAUUCGGAGAAAGGAUCCUCAAUCAUAACAUCAUCAUCACAUCCAAAUCCCAAAAAUGCGAACCACUUCCACUUCCACUAGUUAAAUUUUGGCUCUCGCUUGUGCUUCCGCUUGCACUUCCACUUGUACUCCCACUUCCACUCGGUUUGUAUUGUGCAUUAUAAGACUCAUAAAGCUUAAUCAAUAAAUUCUUGAUCAUUUCCUUCAUCUCAACACAUUUGGCACUAUCCUUGCCAUAUAAUUUCUCAAAGCAAUGUGUUGCGAAUUUCAUUUUUCCUCUUGGAUCAAGUACGGAAGCAACAAUCAACAACUUAUUUAUCUUGAAACAACCAUCCCAAUACUUAUUAAAUUUUUCCUUCAUUUUAAUUGCCAUGAAACUCAAAAGACUAUCGUUACUAGUGGACAAUGAUCCCAAAGAUUGUUCAAUUUGACAUAUCAAAUUGUAACAAAUAUUUGAUGUCACCUAAAAAAAAAAUAAUGUUAAUAAAGCUAAAAUAAACUUCAUCAUAUUAUUAUAUAUCAAAAAUUAAAAAAAUAUAGCUCAUAAAAAAAAUAUAGCUUAUAGAAUUUUUUUAAUUAUCUUUUAUAUUCUAUUAUAUAAAUAAAAACAAUGUUAAUAAAGCUAAAAUAAACUUCAUCAGAUUAUUAUAUAUCAAAAAUUAAAAAAAUUUAAUAAAGAUUUAAUGUUACCUUCAAAGAUGAAGAAAACUGCAAAGUCGCAUCAUGAAACGUCUUUAAAAACUUAACUAUACGUCGAGUAUUUUCCCAAUCACUGUACAAUGGCGGUCCCUCCCUUUUCUUCUUUCCACCCUCUUUUUCAUUGAAAUAAGCAUCAUAAAGCUUAUCUUCAAGUGCCAUUCGAUCAAAUGCCGGCUUAAAUUUUAAUGCCGUAUUCAACAUGGAAUAUGUUGAAUUCCACCUAGUGGGACAAUCCAAAAUCACACUUCCUCGACAUUUAAUCUUCUCUUGUUGCACACGAAUUUGAAAUGCUUGCAUCCUAGCAGUGGAAGAUCUCACAUACUUCACCGCAUUCCGAACACUAACUAUACUCUGCUCUAAUUCCUUCAACCCUUCAGUAACGAUCAAAUUCAAUAUGUGUGCACAACAACGAACAUGCAAAUAAUCUCCAUUCAACACUAAGCCAUCAUCCCUCCAAGUCUUCACUCUAUCAAUCAAGUACCUAAGAGCACCCUCAUUUGGACUUGCAUUGUCAACACUUACAGUAAACACUCGCUCGAUACCCCAAUCAAUUAAACAUUUUUCAAGUUGCUUACCAAUGGUCUCUGAUGAAUGAUCAUUAACAGUGUUAAAACUGAUAAUCUUCCUAUGUAAGUUCCAAUCUCUAUCAAUAAAGUGAGCGGUGAUGACCAUGUAGCUAGCUGUUGUAAUGGAAGUCCAAAUAUCCGUGGUCAAAGAUACUCUCUGCUUAUUCCCCGCUAAUAAACUCUUCAACUUAACCUUUUCCUCCAAAUACAUCUCAAGAGUAUCCAUACUAAUGGUUCUUCGUGAUGGGAGAAGAUAUCUCGGAGUUACAACACUAUAGAAAUGCCUAAAACCCGCAUUCUCCACAACAAAAAAAGGCAAUUCAUCAAGAACAAUCAUUUUCACGGUUGCCCGUCUACAAGCUUCUUGACUAAAUCCCCUUGCUACAACUUCAUCACUACCAACAUCUUGAGUUAAUAUUGUUUGGUUUUUUUGCAAGUCCUUGAACUUUUGACAUCUUUCACGAUUAUGAGUUCUCAAAGUGCUAGUCCCGUACCCGACCGUCCCACAUUCAAAUUCUUGACCACAGUAGUUGCAUUUACACUUUGUAUGAUCAUUUGGAACUCUAGUGAAAUGUUGCCACACUGGUGAUCUUGGAGCCAUUUUUUUCCUUGGUAGUGGUGGUUUGGAUGAGGAUGACUUUUUUCGCUUGUUUCCACCAGUGACAAUUGUUGCCGAAUCAUUUUCAUUAUCAUUAACUUCAACUUCAUGUUCCAAAUAAUCGGCUACACAAUCAAGGUUGUCUUGAACUCUUGAAUAAUUAGACAUCUAAAAUAAAUCAAAUAAAAAGAAAUAAGAAAAAUGAUUUAUUUAAUAAUUUGAAGUAUUGAACUGAAUUAAGCACAUUUGGAUAAUCUCAAUCUACUUUCCCAAGCCAUUACAGAAAUGUUAAACAUAUCACUAUUACUUGCACAAAAUCCCAAUUUACAUACAUGCCUAGAGAGGUUCAGAUAUAUGGUGCAAUAGGUGCAUUCCAGGAAAAAUUAGUUAUCUUUUAACUACAUAAGUUCUGGCUAGUCACAGUUUACCCAUCAAAGUUAGAUAUUGUAAGUGUUCACUGUUGCAUAUCAACUUAUAGUAACAAGCUAAUUUAAAAAUCUAUGAUGCCAUUGCGAUGAAGAUCAUAAUUUUUAGGCGACCAAGUCAAUAAAAAAACAGUACAUAAAAAUAUAAAAUGGCAGGUCAUGCUAAGCAAAGAUGUCCGAAAGGAAACAUUCUCAUUUUUCUGUAUCCAAAUUCCGAAUUCAUAUCAAUAUUCUCACAAUAUACAAUUAUACAACUAUUUACAUAUCAAUAUUCUCGGUUUCUCACAAUAUACAAUUACACAACUAUUUUACUUGUACAAUUCCACACUGCCAGCAACCGAUAUACACAAUCACCAACACCUCCAAAAAUUUAACCCCACAUAAGCUUCAAUUCAAACACAGAGGCCACAACAUAGAUUAAACAAAAUAACCUGCAGCAGUGAGGGGAAGGGCUGUGCUGCUACUGAGGGGCUGUGCGAGGAAGAGAUCGUGAGGGGCUGAGCCGAACCGCACCGUGCACGCGCAGAGGGGGAAGAUACUACCGAGGGGUGGUGUCGCCGUUGAGGAGUUGUGCUGUGAGGAGGGAGAGACGCGAGGGAGAGGCGCGAGGAAGAGAUCGUGAGGGGCUGAGCCGAACCGCACCGUGCACGCGCAGAGGGGGAAGAUACUGCCGAGGGGUGGUGCCGCCGUGAGGAGCUGCGCCGUGACGAGAGAGAGACGCAAGGAGAGGCGUGAGGGAGAGAGGCAAGGGCAGCAGUAGUAUGCAAUCGUGAUUUAGGCCUUAGGGUUUUGAAUUUUUAUUACUGAAAUUGAUUUUAAAUUUAUUAUUUCACUUUAAUUUUUAAAUAUUUUGUUAAAUUGAACCGAACCGAUUGGUUUUUCGGUUCGGUUCGGUUUAAAACCGAACCGAAUAAAAACCAAUCGGUUCAGGAUUUUUUAAACCAUUUGAUUUUUGCUCAUAGAACCGAACCGUUUGCCCACCCCUAGUAUUUUUAUUCAAGUACUAGCUUUGGGUAUGAUGAGUACCAUAUUCAUUUCCUUAUCUUUUGAUUUUGUUUUCUUUAAUCUUUAGUUAAUUUCUUUUUUCUUUUUAAUUUUGUUAUACACAUAUUGUUACUGAUAUUACAUCAGACAUUACAAUUAUAAUAUUUACAAUCAUACUAAACAACUGAGACCACUGACAUACAUUAACCCACUGAAGCACUUGUCCAAAUACUUUAAACCCUCUCUAAUAUUCGAGGCUGUCUCCACUCAAUUAAUUGAUAAUUGAGAAAGAACUGAAAUUAACCUCUAUAAUACUUUUAUGGAGGUUCAAACUCUUACACUCAAUAUUGUAAGUGCAAGACUUCUCUUAUUGGACCAAAGGCCCAUGGUAAUCUUUAGUUAAUUUCACGGAACAACAAAAGCAACUUAAAAUCCCACUUUACUCUUUCCACAUGGGCCGUCAUGAUGGUGUUUUUUACUGCACUUGUUACUUCCACUAAACCCUUUUAAAGAUUGCAGAUCUCUUUGUUUGAGUUAAAGACUUAAAGUUGUAUUAAGAAAGUUGUAUUAAAUAUUGAAUAUAGAAAAUUUUGUUGGGCAUCGGACAGACGAAUGAAAAACCAUUUGUUCUUGAACAUCUUUUCGUAGUUUCAAAUAGAAGUGAGAGAGCGUUGACGCUAAAAGGACCGGCAGGCUUAACAUUUUUCCAUGAGAAUUACGUGUUAUGUGGAACUAAUUUUAAUUUACUUCUGUCAUCUUGUUACAGUGUUAGCUCUUUGUUCAUGAAUCGAUUAAUAAGUGCGUUUUUUCACUCAAAAGUUUUCAUCUUAUUAACUUGGAUCAUCUUUUUCCUUUUCUUUUUCUCCUUGUUGUCUUCUAUUACCUACUCUCUCUCCUCAAUCCUUUCUGAAAAUUCAUUCAUUUGUCAGUGUUUGAUUUCCUACAAGCGGAUUUCUCAUCCUACAACUUUUUUUGGGCCUGAUGGGUCCAUCUCAUUGGGUGGCCCAAGCUCAAGCUUCACUAAUUUUAAAAAUUUAAAUAAUUAAAGAAAAUCAGUGGGGCUAAGUGAAAUUAGUUAAUAGAAAUCAUUAGAAAUUAAUCAAUAGAAAUCAUUAGAUAAAGAAGAGCAAAAGCAAGGGACUGGUAAGGAUGGUAACGGGCACCGUUUGCAAUGGGUUUGUUAUUACCAAAUUUAUAUUCACAUAAAAAUUAAAUUAUCAAACUCAACUCGAAAUCUAUUGCAAGUUCUAUUUUUUUUUUAAAUCCACCCGCUGCAAGUUUUGACAAAUACCAAAUUCGUAAUGGUAUUCAGUGGAUUUUUUUUUUUUGCAGGUUUUCACAUUUAAAAUCACAAAUAUUCAAUAUGAAAAUUUAUAAUAAUAACGUAAAAUUCCACAUAAUAUACUUAAUUUUAAAUUUAACCAAUGUAAAUGGAAAAUUAAAAUUUCAACAUCAAUCCAACACAAAUUCUCAAAUUAAAGUAUGAAAUACACAAAUCAGUAUCUAAAUAUAACAAUUAUUAUCAUUUUAUAUUAUCAUUCAACACAUGCUUCUAGAGAAGUUCUUCAUUUUAUUCACCACUAUUAGCACCCAUCCAAUAUGAUUCCUACAAUUAUGAUUAAAAUUAAUAUUUUCUAAAGAAUAAUACAUCGAACUACUUCAAAAUCACUGGUUCCAACUGAACAAUUGCACUAUCACAAUCUUCAAGAACACCACCCGUAUGGCUUCCCCUGUUCCCAUCGUUGCCGGUUUCAUAAUCACCACUUUUCGAUAGGUGCAACAGCCCUAGUGAAGGAUCAAACUGUGUUUGGUUUCAGAAACUUCGUCAUUUCAAUUAAUGGUGGCUUUAUUUGAACAAUUAAUUUUGGUGUUAUAUUAGUGUAUUAUUGUUACUUUAUUUGAACAAUUAAUCUUAGUGUGUUAUAUUUUGAAACUUUGAACGUAUUAUUGUAGUUUUAUUUCAACAAUUAAUCUCGAUGUGUUAUAUUUUAAAACUAUGAAUGUAUUAUUUUAUCUUUAUUUAAACAAUUAAUUUGUUUAAAUUUUAUUCAAUUUUAAAUUUAAUAGGUAGUAAAAUUAUUUUUAUAUUAGAUUAUUUUUAUUUCAUUAGUUUAUGGUAGGGAUGUCAAUUUUUCCCAAUGGGAUGGGAUCCUGCGGGAUCCCAACCCAUUUGGGACGGGAUUGGGACAUAUUUUUGUCCCAUAAAAAAAUUUAGGACGGGAGUGAGAUAUUUUUUUAUCCCACUUGCAUACACGGGACGGGAGUGAGAUUGGAAAAUUCCGUCCCAUCCGUCUCAUUGCCGACUAAGAAUGAGAAUUUUUUCAAUUGGGAUGGGAUCCCACAGGAUCCCAUCUCUUUUGGGACGGGAUCGAGACAUAUUUUUGUCUAAAAAAAAAAUAGGGAUGAGAGUGUGACGUUUUUUCAUCCCACUUGCAUAUACAGGAUAAGACUAGGAUUAGUAAAUCCCAUCUCAUCCCGUCUCAUUGCCAACCCUAGUUCAUGGAUUGGAGAGAACUAAAAAUUUUUAAUUCGGAAACUAAUGCGCAAAAUGGUGGAUUGGAUAUGGAUUAAGUUAAAUCCGCAUCCGAUCCACAGACGUAUGGAUUGAGUCAAAUCCGCAUCCGAUCCAUAGAUGUAUAGAUUGGAUUUGGAUUGAAUUUAAUCAAUCUGUGGAUUGGAUUGGAUUGAAAAAUUAUAAUCCACAAAAUCGUGGAUCAGAUAUGGAUUGAUGUUGCUAGAGUGCAAUUUAUGCACUAGUUUUACAUUGUUUACUUCCUUUAAUAUCGAUGUUUUGCACUUAAUAAUAGUGAUUUACUUGUGUUUUAUUUCUGUAGGUGCAAUUCUAUUGAUUGGUGCUAAAAUUGAGCUUCAGAAGAACUUUGUUGAUAAGGCGUAGUCGCGUGCUAUCAACUACGGACCUGCAGUUUUUAGUUUAACGUGUUUUGUCUUUUUGGUUAUUUUUGUAAUUAUGAAUUUAAUAUUUAGAUAAUAUUUUAGAUAUUAGUAUUUUAUUUUAAAAAGAACUCUAGAGGAGAAGAGAAUUUAAGAGAGGAAUCUAUUGUGAAAAGGGGAGAUUGUCAAAACCCUAGAUCUAAAUUUUUCUCUUCUCUCUAUGAAGAACUAAACCUAUUAUUCUGGUUGAAGGUUAAUGAAGUUUUAAUUCGUCACUACUGUGAGAUCUUUCUUAUGCUUUAAUUGUUUUAUUACUUUUUGGGUAUUUGUUUAUUCUCUGAAUUUUUGUCAUGAUUAUGUUUGUUAAUUAGAUAAUUGGCCUCUAUUUAAUUAUCAACUUAAUCUAUUGUCAAUUAAAAGAUUCAUCGUAUGAAGAUUUUAAUGUUUGUGACAAAUAGCAUAGCAGUGCGUUGUGUUAUGAGAAUAAACAAUCUAAUUUCAAUGAACCAUCGUAUGCAUUUGUUGAUUAGGAUUUUGGUCUCUCUGGUUUUUCAGGCUGUCAAUUGAUUAAAUCCUGUGAUCAUAUCUAGGGUUGUCUAUUGAUUAGGGAAAUAACCUACGGUCGUACCUUGGUUAUCGACUAGUUAAGGAGAGAUUGGCUAUUAGAGGGUCUCAGUAGCUAUAACCGGUCUAUUUAUAAGUAGUAAUGAUUUAUAUUUGAGUCAAUGAUCAGUAGUCGAAUCAAGCUGAGUUAAUUCCUUCAACCAGAGCUUUUACCAAUUUGAAUUACAAUUUGAAUUUGCAUUCUUGUUAUUUUAAUUUGAUUUUUAUUAUUGUCAACAAUUCCCCCUUUUUCAUUUUACAUUUUAAAAGGAUUUAAAUAAUUACCGAUCUCUGUGGACACGACUCUGCUCAAUCACUAUACGCAAUUUAUUUAGAGUAGAUAUUUAUUUUUGCUGGCUUCGACAACCAUCAAAUUUUGGCGCCGUUGCCGGGGAUUGGUGUCGUUUAUUUAAUCAUUUUUACGUUUUACUUGGUGUAUGGUUCGUUCUUAUCGUAUAGGUACACUUUCAUUUGAUCGUGAAAUUUUAGAAGACAGCUCACCAGUUGAGACAACAGACGAAGCGAGCUAAGCAACGAUCCUUGUCGCCUUUGCUUUCUGAAACAGAUACGGUACCUGAUUUGGUUGAAUCAUUUAGAAAUUCAGAAGAACAAGUGAUGGAUAGAGGUGAACCUGUAGAAAGAACUCUCAGAGAGUUAGCUGAACCAGACUUGAAUCAGCAACCACUCUGCAUUCAAUAUGUAGACUUGGAGGUAAAUUUUGAAUUAAAGUCUGGUCUUAUUCAUUUAUUACUCAAGUUUCAUGAUUUUGCAGGUGAAGAUCCUCAUAAACAUCUCAAGGAGUUUCAUGUUGUAUGUUCAAGUAUGAGACCACAAGACGUGACUGAAGAGCAGAUCAAGUUGCGUGCUUUUCCUUUCUCUUUAGAUGGGCUAGCUAAAGACUAGUUGUACUACAUGCCUCCUGGAUCGAUUAUAACGUGGAAUGGUUUGAAGAAGCAGUUCAUUGAGAAGUACUUUCCUGCUUCAAGAGCUGCCAACAUCAGAAAAGACAUUUGUUGGAUCAGACAACUUCCUGGGGAGACUUUGUAUGAGUAUUGGGAGCGAUUCAAACAAUUGUGCGAUAACUGUCCUCAACAUCAGAUUUCUGAUCAACUUUUUAUUCAAUUCUUUUAUGAAGGACUGUCAUUGAUGGAUAAGAGUAUGAUAGAUGUUGCUAGUGGAGCUGUAUUGGUAAACAAGACCCCUACUCAAGCAAGGGAGUUGAUCUCAAAUAUGGCUGCCAAUGCACAAUAGUUUGGCAGCAGGCAAGAUCCCACUUCAAGGAAGGUGAAUGAGGUAAAUAUUUCUUCUGUUGAACAACGUUUAGAUAAACUUACUUCUCUUGUGGAAAAAUUUGUGGUAAGUAAUGUGCAACAGGUGAAGACUUGUGGCAUUUGUUCCAAUAUGGUUUAUUCAACUUAUAUGUGUCCUACACUUCAAGAAGAACCCGUUGAACAAGCCAAUGUAGUUGGAGGAUUUCCAGGCAUGCUUCAGAAGAGGUAUGAUCCUUAUGCACAAACAUACAAUCUAGGAUGGAAGGAUCAUCCCAACUUCAGCUAUGGAGUUAGGCCGUCAGGAUUCCCAUAACAAUAUCCACCAAGACAACUAGCACCUUCACAGUCAAACUCCAAGUCAAGUAUAUCUCUUGAAGAAAUUGUUAAAUCACUUGCGGCUAACACUCAAUAAUUUCAACAUGCAACUACAACAAGCAUUCAUAAUUUGGAGAACUAAAUGAGUCAAUUGGCGACUACAAUGAGCCGUCUAGAGUCCCAAGUAUCAGGGAGAUUGCCUUCACAAUCUGAGGUGAAUUCAAAGCAAAACGCUAAUGCUGUCAUCUUUAGAAGUGGGAAGGAGUUGUAAGAGCCUGAUAAAAAAGUGACAAAGCAUGUAGAAGAUGAGCUUGAGAAGAAUGAAUUAAUGACUAAAUCUCAAGAUGCGCAACCCACCAGAGCAAAACCUCUACCUGUGGUGAUACCUCCUCUUUUUCCAAGCUGGUUUGCAAAAUCGAAGAAGGAGGAACAAGAAAAAGACAUCCUUAAGAUAUUUCGCAAGGUUGAGGUAAAUAUUCCUUUAUUAGAUGCUAUAAAAUAAAUACUUCAAUAUGCUAAAUUCCUUAAGAAACUGUGCACCUCCAAGAGAAAAUUAAGAGGAGAUGAAAGAGUUCACAUGGGGGAGAAUGUUUCAGCAGUUCUCCAAAAGAAACUACCUCCUAAGUGCAAGGAUCCAUGUAUGUUUACUAUCCCUUACAAAAUUGGUAGUAUUAGAGUUGAGAAGGCUAUGUUAGAUCUAGGAGCUUCUAUUAAUGUCAUGCCUCAUUCCAUUUAUUCAUCUUUGAAUGUUGGUCCAUUAAAAGAAAUUGGCGUGAUAAUUCAAAUAGCUGAUAGGUCUAAUGCAUAUCCAGAUGGGGUAUUAGAAGAUGUCUUAGUACAAGUUAAUGAGUUGGUUUUUCCUGCUGAUUUUUAUGUACUUGAUAUGGAAGAGGAUAACUCCUCUAAUUCUGUCCAAAUUUUGCUAGGAAGACCUUUUCUUAA